Non-coding RNA from Pantherophis guttatus, 668 nucleotides. NCBI's taxonomy places the organism in Eukaryota, Metazoa, Chordata, Lepidosauria, Squamata, Colubridae. The record is from RefSeq and is a predicted model, not a curated record.
AAUCUAAAAUACAGUGGAAGGAAUGGAUAAAUAGAAACUAGAAGAAGUUGGAACAAUAAUUGUAAGGUCAAGUCUCCAGGGACACAACUAAGGACAGGGAGCCACAGUAGAUUCUCCCCAGAUAACUCAAGGCAGUGAGCAUAUCCAACACACCUUCCUCCUCCUAUUUCCCCACAACAACAACCCUGUGAGCUGGGUUGGGAUAAGAGAGAGUGACUGACCCAAAGUCGCCUCCCAUCCUAUGGAAUAGCUCACCCUCUAGGACAAAGAUGGCCCACUCUGAGGGCUUUGGGGAAAGCUGAAAUAUUGGGUUUUCAAAGAAGAGGGGAUUGGCUUCUUCUCUAGGGCACCAGAGGGCAAGACAAGAGGCUGGAAGGAGAAUGGGGAGAAGAAAGGAGGAAGAAAGGAGUGUGAUUUGAAUAUGCACCUGGCUGAACCUGAGAGGGCACAAGCUUCCUACUUGUGGAACGAACCCAGUAAUUAGUCCACCACCAUCAUUGCUGAUCUGUUGCCCUCUUCAGACCGAGUUUAUCAUGCCAACUGCCACCUUUGAAACCACAUCAAAGCCGAGCCUCGCCUAAUGUUUGUCGUCUGUGUUUUUCAACGCCUGCAAAAGAACACUGCGUACUUCUUAUUUUUUACGUCCUCUCCUUUUUUUGCAGGGACAA